Molecule: ribosomal RNA, 1068 nt
Filed under: uncultured fungus
Lineage: Eukaryota; Fungi
Description: eukaryotic LSU rRNA
Rfam family: Eukaryotic large subunit ribosomal RNA (bases 494-1068)
Source: RNAcentral
GGAUCAUUACCGAGUUAGGGUCUUAUAGGCCCGACCUCCAACCCUUUGUUUACUACACCAUGUUGCUUUGGCGGGCCCGCCUUUUGGGGCCGCCGGGGGUUUACAAGCCCCUGGUCAGUGUUCGCCAGUAGCCUUAUUAAAUUCUUUUAUAAUUAUGUCGUCUGAGUAUAAAUAUAAAUCGUUAAAACUUUCAACAACGGAUCUCUUGGUUCUGGCAUCGAUGAAGAACGCAGCGAAAUGCGAUAAGUAAUGCGAAUUGCAGAAUUCAGUGAGUCAUCGAAUCUUUGAACGCAUAUUGCGCCCUUUGGUAUUCCGAAGGGCAUGCCUGUUCGAGCGUCAUUACAACCCUCAAGCUCUGCUUGGUAUUAGGCCUCACCCGUUAGGGCGGGCUGUAAAAUCAGUGGCGGUGCCAUUCGGCUUCAAGCGUAGUAAUUUUUCUCGCUUUGGAGUACCGGCUGUGUGCCUGCCAGCAACCCCAAUUUUUAUCAAAGGUUGACCUCGGAUCAGGUAGGGAUACCCGCUGAACUUAAGCAUAUCAAUAAGCGGAGGAAAAGAAACCAACAGGGAUUGCCUCAGUAACGGCGAGUGAAGCGGCAACAGCUCAAAUUUGAAAUCUGGCCUUCUGGUCCGAGUUGUAAUUUGUAGAGGAUGUUUCGAACGUGGUCCGGUCUAAGUUUCUUGGAACAGAACGUCAUAGAGGGUGAGAAUCCCGUAUGCGACUGGGUGCCUAAGUUCAUGUGAAACUCCUUCGACGAGUCGAGUUGUUUGGGAAUGCAGCUCAAAAUGGGUGGUAAAUUUCAUCUAAAGCUAAAUAUUGGCCAGAGACCGAUAGCGCACAAGUAGAGUGAUCGAAAGAUGAAAAGCACUUUGGAAAGAGAGUUAAACAGUACGUGAAAUUGUUGAAAGGGAAGCGCUUGCAACCAGACUUGCAUGCAGUUGAUCAUCCGGCGUUUUCACCGGUGCACUCGAUUGUAUUCAGGCCAGCAUCGGUUUUGGUGGUUAGAUAAAGGCCUUGGGAAUGUAGCUUCUUUCGGGGAGUGUUAUAGCCCUCGGUGCAAUGUAGCCUAC